This 807-nucleotide ribosomal RNA is filed under the name uncultured bacterium. RNAcentral's name for it is "bacterial SSU rRNA". It matches the Rfam family "Bacterial small subunit ribosomal RNA", at positions 8 to 796 of the family's 1533-position model. The record is from RNAcentral.
AGAGUUUGAUCAUGGCUCAGAACGAACGCUGGCGGCGUGCCUAACACAUGCAAGUCGAGCGCGAAUGGAGCAAUCCUAGUAGAGCGGCGCACGGGUGCGUAACACGUGGAUAAUCUGCCUGGGUGUCUGGGAUAACCAGUCGAAAGAUUGGCUAAUACCGGAUAAGCCCCCGGGAGCUUCGGCUCCUGAGGGAAAAAGGUGGCCUCUGUAUACAAGCUAUCACAUCCAGAUGAGUCCGCGGCCCAUCAGCUAGUUGGCGGGGUAAUGGCCCACCAAGGCAACGACGGGUAGCUGGUCUGAGAGGACGAUCAGCCACACUGGAACUGAGACACGGUCCAGACUCCUACGGGAGGCAGCAGUGGGGAAUUUUGCGCAAUGGGCGAAAGCCUGACGCAGCAACGCCGCGUGUGUGAUGAAGGUCUUCGGAUUGUAAAGCACUUUCGACCGGGACGAAAACCCUGAAGCUAACAUCUUCAGGCUUGACGGUACCGGGAGAAGAAGCACCGGCUAACUCUGUGCCAGCAGCCGCGGUAAUACAGAGGGUGCAAGCGUUGUUCGGAAUUAUUGGGCGUAAAGCGCGUGUAGGCGGCUUUGCAAGUCGGGUGUGAAAGCCCUCAGCUCAACUGAGGAAGUGCGCCCGAAACUGCAGAGCUUGAGUGCCGGAGAGGGUGGCGGAAUUCCCCAAGUAGAGGUGAAAUUCGUAGAUAUGGGGAGGAACACCGGUGGCGAAGGCGGCCACCUGGACGGUAACUGACGCUGAGACGCGAAAGCGUGGGGAGCAAACAGGAUUAGAUACCCUAGUAGUCC